ACAUGGCUGGCUUGACAUGACACCUGGACGUUAUUUAUAGGACAUGUGAUGUGGGCAGCUGCUUGACUCAUCUAAUCUUCACAGCAGCCCUCUGAGAAUUUGGAGGCCCUAUCAAGAUGGCUAAACUCAUGAGAACCUACAAGAGUGAAGCAAUAACAGCCCUGAAUCAAGUAAUACCACACCAAGAAUGACACUGAAAACUUGGAGAGGAAGUUUGGAGCCAGAGUACUGGAUGUUCACAUGGUUUGGGCAAUUGCAUUCAAUGUUCCCACCUCUGCUGCUCCUGUAAGUGCCUGGAAAGGUCAUGUUGGAAGGAUGCCAUAGGACUGGAGAAAAGACCUCCGCUAAGGCUCCUUCUCCUGUCAGAAGACUUCCCUGAAAGCCAUCGGUAGAUUCAUUGGCCCACUGUGGUCCAGCAGUACCCUCACAGUCCGUGCCCUCUCUUUGGACUCAGCACAUC
Camelus dromedarius (Arabian camel) is the source of this 460-nucleotide long non-coding RNA. RefSeq lists it as uncharacterized. The transcript has 3 exons. The record is from RefSeq and is a predicted model, not a curated record. Lineage: Eukaryota; Metazoa; Chordata; Mammalia; Artiodactyla; Camelidae.